AUACCAUCUUCAAAACGACAUGCUUAAUUAUUUCUUUUCACAUGUCUGUUUAGGUUCAUUAUGCAGUUAAAACUUCAGCAUGUAUAUCUCUUCCCCUAUACUCCUAUUUUUUAAUACUAUGCUUGUAUGAUUGCUUUCAUGUACUUCCCUCUCCCUAAAUCCCUUUAGUCUACUUCUAUUUGAAUUUUUUCUGUUCUUAUGCAAAUGCUUUCAUAUUUGAUCCAUUUCCCUGAACCCCUUUUGUAUGUGAGUAUUGUUUUGGACUAGAGUGGUACUCUAUUGCCACCUUUGGUUCAGAACUAGGUUGUUCCCAACCUCUACUCAAAUCAGAC
This 332-nucleotide long non-coding RNA is filed under the name Nicotiana benthamiana. Its description in RNAcentral is "long non-coding RNA (NBEN_LNC022774)". The record is from RNAcentral. Lineage: Eukaryota; Viridiplantae; Streptophyta; Magnoliopsida; Solanales; Solanaceae.